RNAcentral lists this ribosomal RNA (1071 nucleotides) under fungal endophyte. RNAcentral's name for it is "eukaryotic LSU rRNA". The stretch from base 485 to 1071 matches the Rfam family "Eukaryotic large subunit ribosomal RNA", at positions 1 to 602 of the family's 3401-position model. Lineage: Eukaryota; Fungi. The record is from RNAcentral.
AUACGUUGCGCAUCGCCGGGGUCCGCCCACGGCGGUGUGGCGCGGUUACUUCAACCCUUUGUGAACCACAACUCUGUUGCUUCGGGGGCGACCCCGCCGUUUCGGCGGUGGUGCCCCCGGUGGCCUACCAUUAAACUCUGCAUCUCUUUGCGUCGGAGUCUUGAAUAGAAUUCAAACAAAACUUUCAACAACGGAUCUCUUGGUUCUGGCAUCGAUGAAGAACGCAGCGAAAUGCGAUAAGUAAUGUGAAUUGCAGAAUUCAGUGAAUCAUCGAAUCUUUGAACGCACAUUGCGCCCCGUGGUAUUCCGCGGGGCAUGCCUGUUCGAGCGUCAUUUCACCACUCAAGCCUGGCUUGGUAUUGGGCGCCGCGGUCGCUAGACCGCGCGCCUUAAAGUCUCCGGCUGAGCAGUCCGUCUCCGAGCGUUGUGACACAUGUCGCUAGGGAGUACGGGUCUGCCGCGGCCGUUAAAUCUUUUAACAGGUUGACCUCGGAUCAGGUAGGGAUACCCGCUGAACUUAAGCAUAUCAAUAAGCGGAGGAAAAGAAACCAACAGGGAUUGCCCUAGUAACGGCGAGUGAAGCGGCAACAGCUCAAAUUUGAAAUCUGGCGUAAGCCCGAGUUGUAAUUUGUAGAGGAUGCUUCUGGGCAGCGGCCGUUCUAAGUUCCUUGGAACAGGACGUCAUAGAGGGUGAGAAUCCCGUAUGUGACCGGCACGUACCCUCCACGUAGCUCCUUCGACGAGUCGAGUUGUUUGGGAAUGCAGCUCUAAAUGGGAGGUAAAUUUCUUCUAAAGCUAAAUACCGGCCAGAGACCGAUAGCGCACAAGUAGAGUGAUCGAAAGAUGAAAAGCACUUUGGAAAGAGAGUUAAAAAGCACGUGAAAUUGUUGAAAGGGAAGCGCUUACAACCAGACUUCGUGGCGGUGUUCCGCCGGUCUUCUGACCGGUUCACUCGCCGCCGCGAGGCCAGCAUCGUCUGGGACCGCCGGAUAAGACCGUGAGAAUGUAGCUCCCCUCGGGGAGUGUUAUAGCUCGCGGUGAUGCGGCGUGUCUCGGGCGAGGUCCGCGCUC